Molecule: ribosomal RNA, 898 nt
Filed under: uncultured Rhodocyclaceae bacterium
Lineage: Bacteria; Pseudomonadati; Pseudomonadota; Betaproteobacteria; Rhodocyclales; Rhodocyclaceae
Description: bacterial SSU rRNA
Rfam family: Bacterial small subunit ribosomal RNA
Source: RNAcentral
CGCAAGUCGAACGGCAGCGGGGACUUCGGUCCGCCGGCGAGUGGCGAACGGGUGAGUAACGUAUCGGAACGUACCUUUCAGGGGGGGAUAACGUAGCGAAAGUUACGCUAAUAACGCAUAUUCUGUGAGCAGGAAAGCAGGGGAUCGCAAGACCUUGCGCUGAUUGAGCGGCCGAUAUCAGAUUAGCUAGUUGGUGAGGUAAAGGCUCACCAAGGCGACGAUCUGUAGCGGGUCUGAGAGGAUGAUCCGCCACACUGGAACUGAGACACGGUCCAGACUCCUACGGGAGGCAGCAGUGGGGAAUUUUGGACAAUGGGGGCAACCCUGAUCCAGCCAUGCCGCGUGAGUGAAGAAGGCCUUCGGGUUGUAAAGCUCUUUCGGCCGGGAAGAAAUCGUAUGGGUUAAUACCCUGUGCGGAUGACGGUACCGGCAUAAGAAGCACCGGCUAACUACGUGCCAGCAGCCGCGGUAAUACGUAGGGUGCGAGCGUUAAUCGGAAUUACUGGGCGUAAAGCGUGCGCAGGCGGUUUUGUAAGACAGGCGUGAAAUCCCCGGGCUCAACCUGGGAACUGCGCUUGUGACUGCAAGGCUAGAGUACGGCAGAGGGGGGUGGAAUUCCACGUGUAGCAGUGAAAUGCGUAGAGAUGUGGAGGGACACCAAUGGCGAAGGCAGCCCCCUGGGUCGAUACUGACGCUCAUGCACGAAAGCGUGGGUAGCAAACAGGAUUAGAUACCCUGAUAGUCCACGCCCUAAACGAUGUCAACUAGGUGUUGGAUGGGUAAGACCAUUUAGUACCGGAGCUAACGCGUGAAGUUGACCGCCUGGGGAGUACGGCCGCAAGGUUAAAACUCAAAGGAAUUGACGGGGACCCCGCACAAGCGGUGGGAUGAUGUGGAU